GACGAACGCUGGCGGCGUGCUUAACACAUGCAAGUCGAACGGAAAGGCCCUGCUUGUGUGCGGUUCUCGAGUGGCGAACGGGGGAGUAACACGUGAGUAACCUGCCCUUGACUUUGGGAUAACUUCAGGAAACUGGGGCUAAUACCGGAUAGGAUCUCCUGCUGCAUGGUGAGGGUUGGAAAGUUUCGGCGGGUGGGGAUGGACUCGCGGCUUAUCAGCUUGUUGGUGGGGUAGUGGUUGACCAAGGCUUUGAAGGGUAGCCGGCCUGGGAGGGUGACCGGCCACAUUGGGCCUACGGGACGGACCAGAGUCCUACGGGAGGCAGCAGUGGCGAAUAUUGCACAGUGGGCGCACGCGUGAUGAAGAGACGCCGCGUGCGGGAUGCCGGCCUUCGGGUUGUAAAACGCUUUAGCCUGUGACGAAGCGUGAGUGACGGUAAUGGGUAAAGAAGCACCGGCUAACUACGUG
This 468-nucleotide ribosomal RNA is filed under the name uncultured bacterium. RNAcentral describes it as "partial 16S ribosomal RNA". It matches the Rfam family "Bacterial small subunit ribosomal RNA", at positions 28 to 507 of the family's 1533-position model. The record is from RNAcentral.